Small nuclear RNA from Rhododendron vialii, 198 nucleotides. RefSeq annotates it as U2 spliceosomal RNA. The record is from RefSeq and is a predicted model, not a curated record. NCBI's taxonomy places the organism in Eukaryota, Viridiplantae, Streptophyta, Magnoliopsida, Ericales, Ericaceae. The transcript has a single exon.
AUAUGGUCUCGGCAUUCUGGCAAAGACCAAGUGUAGUAUCUGUUCUUAUUAGUUUAAUAUCUGAUAUGUGGGCCAUCGGUUCACCCUUUAUUAAAUUAAUAAUUAUUUGAGGAGAGGGCCCACUACUAUAGCUUACUACUGGGAUCUCUAACACGUUGCCUUGGUGUUGCACUAUCGCCUUGGCUUGCCGCACCCCAA